GUGUGUUUGUGUGUUAGUGUAUGUGUGUUAGUGUGUGUGUUUGUGUAUGUGUGUUAGUGUGUGUAUGUGUGUUAGUGUAUGUGUGUGUUAGUGUAUGUGUGUUAGUGUAUGUGUGUUAGUGUGUGUGUUUGUGUGUUAGUGUAUGUGUGUGUUAGUGUAUCUGUGUGUUAGUGUAUGUGUGUGUGUCAGUAUGUCUGUGUGUGUGUGUCAGUAUGUCUGUCUGUCUGUGUGUCAGUAUAUAUGUGUGUGUAUAUCUGUGUGUGUCAGUAUGUGUAUGUGUCAGUAUGUCUGUCAG
This 295-nucleotide long non-coding RNA is filed under the name Pelobates cultripes (western spadefoot toad). The record is from RNAcentral. Lineage: Eukaryota; Metazoa; Chordata; Amphibia; Anura; Pelobatidae.